AUUGAACGCUGGCGGCAUGCUUUACACAUGCAAGUCGAACGGCAGCGCGGGCUUCGGCCUGGCGGCGAGUGGCGAACGGGUGAGUAAUACAUCGGUACGUGCCCAGUUGUUGGGGAUAGCGCGGCGACAGCGGGAUUAAUACCCCAAAACACCAUACGGUGAAAGCGUGGGAUCUUCGGACCUUGCGCCCUUGCGCCGGCCGAUGAGCCGAUGGCGGAUUAGCUAGUUGGGGGGGUAAAGGCCCACCAAGGCGACGAUCCGUAGCUGGUCUGAGAGGACGACCAGCCACACUGGAACUGAGACACGGCCCAGACUCCUACGGGAGGCAGCAGUGGGGAAUUUUGGACAAAGGGCGAAAGCCUGAUCCAGCAAUGCCGCGUGUGUGAUGAAGGCCUUCGGGUUGUAAAGCACUUUUGGCGGGAAAGAAAAGGAGUGUGCUAAUACCACGGUUCGAUGACGGUACCCGAAGAAUAAGCACCGGCUAACUACGUG
RNAcentral lists this ribosomal RNA (492 nucleotides) under uncultured bacterium. RNAcentral describes it as "partial 16S ribosomal RNA". It matches the Rfam family "Bacterial small subunit ribosomal RNA", at positions 29 to 507 of the family's 1533-position model. The record is from RNAcentral.